UGAACGCUGGCGGCGUGCUUAACACAUGCAAGUCGAACGGGAAACCUUUUAUUGAAGCUUCGGCAGAUUUAGCUGGUUUCUAGUGGCGGACGGGUGAGUAACGCGUGGGUAACCUGCCCUAUACAGGGGGAUAACAACCAGAAAUGGUUGCUAAUACCGCAUAAGCGCACAGGGCCGCAUGGUCCGGUGUGAAAAACUCCGGUGGUAUAGGAUGGACCCGCGUUGGAUUAGCCAGUUGGCAGGGUAACGGCCUACCAAAGCGACGAUCCAUAGCCGGCCUGAGAGGGUGAACGGCCACAUUGGGACUGCGACACGGCCCAGACUCCUACGGGAGGCAGCAGUGGGGAAUAUUGCACAAUGGGGGAAACCCUGAUGCAGCGACGCCGCGUGAAGGAAGAAGUAUCUCGGUAUGUAAACUUCUAUCAGCAGGGAAGAUAGUGACGGUACCUGACUAAGAAGCCCCGGCUAACUACGUG
RNAcentral lists this ribosomal RNA (476 nucleotides) under uncultured bacterium. Its description in RNAcentral is "partial 16S ribosomal RNA". It matches the Rfam family "Bacterial small subunit ribosomal RNA", at positions 30 to 507 of the family's 1533-position model. The record is from RNAcentral.